GACGAACGCUGGCGGCGUGCUUAACACAUGCAAGUCGAACGCUGAAGCCCAGCUUUUGUUGGGUGGAUGAGUGGCGAACGGGUGAGUAACACGUGAGUAACCUGCCUCCUUCUUUGGGAUAACGCCCGGAAACGGGUGCUAAUACUGGAUAUUCACUGGUCUUCGCAUGGGGGUUGGUGGAAAGGGUUUUUCUGGUGGGGGAUGGGCUCGCGGCCUAUCAGCUUGUUGGUGGGGUGAUGGCCUACCAAGGCUUUGACGGGUAGCCGGCCUGAGAGGGUGACCGGUCACAUUGGGACUGAGAUACGGCCCAGACUCCUACGCGAGGCAGCAGUGGGGAAUAUUGCACAAUGGGCGAAAGCCUGAUGCAGCGAAGACGCGUGAGGGAUGGAGGCCUUCGGGUUGUGAACCUCUUUCGCUCAUGGUCAAGCCGCAACAAUGGUUGUGGUGAGGGUAGUGGGUAAAGAAGCGCCGGCUAACUACGUG
Molecule: ribosomal RNA, 483 nt
Filed under: uncultured bacterium
Lineage: Bacteria
Description: partial 16S ribosomal RNA
Rfam family: Bacterial small subunit ribosomal RNA
Source: RNAcentral